AAAUUCACGGGAUCCGUGGUCAGGCUGGAAUGAGAAUGAGAAACGAACGAUCACUAAUGAAUCUUGGCCAGCGAUUCGGCGAUCAGGAUUCCAGAACAGUCACUACAAGAAAAAGGGGUUGGAGCUCGACGAACGAUGCAGGCUGCAAUCAUACACGCCUUGACGAGGAAAUUUAUGCGCAAGCGACCCAACAAGCCAUUCGACAGUCCCUACUGAACAUCCAAGAAAGCCAUGGGGGUUAAAAACCAUGAGAAAAAAACGCUUGCGUCCCAAAUACUCUUGGACAGGCUUGAGCCUCCGCGUAAAUCAGAAUCCUCUUCCGCCUCAUAUUACAUGGGUAGAUAUUUAUGAAUGACUUCUGGGUACCGUGACAAGAAAAACACCAAUCGAAUUACGUUCAUGGAUGAGGAUUCUGAGACAGAUUUUGUGACCGAGGAGUGCAACUGCCGGAGAAAAUAUAAUUAAUGAUUUUUCAAACAUG
Tigriopus californicus is the source of this 481-nucleotide long non-coding RNA. RefSeq lists it as uncharacterized. NCBI's taxonomy places the organism in Eukaryota, Metazoa, Arthropoda, Copepoda, Harpacticoida, Harpacticidae. The record is from RefSeq and is a predicted model, not a curated record. The transcript is spliced from 2 exons.